AGUUUUAGAAAUCAUAAAAUCAUCAGCAAGACAAACAAAGAUGACUGGAUAUCAGUCUACUAGAGCUGCUUGAGCAUUCACAUUUCUUCAAACCAGGUCCAAUUUUAAUCAGUUUUGUUUCUCAAUUAUUGUUUUCUAAAAAAUUGAUAAAAAUGACUGAAAAUAUGGUUUUAAGCGGCUUUUAUCUCAAUCAUCCCUUGUGUGAGAAGAGAAUAUAGUCAAAAUAUCUUCUGGUAAAAUUGUGCUUGUACUCUAGUAAAGAGACAAUUUUAACAGAAAAAAUGUCUUAAAAUUAUGAGAAAAGAAUUGUUUUAAUGAGAACAAAGGUUCAAAGGAAUUCAAAGGCCAAAUAAAUUAGAAGCUGUAAAUCAUCCCUGUCAAACAAGAUGGCGGCUUUAAACUAUGGAAAUCCAAGGAGUGCAUUGGCGAAAAAAACAAAAACAAGAUUUUUAAAAAAUUAAACCUUCAAAAACCAAACACUUAAUUUAUCUCCUUAAAUUCUACAAUCAAAAAUCAACAAGUGUAUGAAAAGUUGUCAAGCCAAAACAAAUUAUUGGUAUUAUUUGAUCAGCACACAACCAAAACAAAGCGAUAAAAACUCCACUACCACACAAGAAAAAGACAUUUUACAACAUAAGUAUCUAAUGGCUUUAUAGAAAC
Poecilia latipinna (sailfin molly) is the source of this 660-nucleotide long non-coding RNA. RefSeq lists it as uncharacterized. NCBI's taxonomy places the organism in Eukaryota, Metazoa, Chordata, Actinopteri, Cyprinodontiformes, Poeciliidae. The record is from RefSeq and is a predicted model, not a curated record. The transcript has 2 exons.